Molecule: ribosomal RNA, 468 nt
Filed under: uncultured bacterium
Lineage: Bacteria
Description: partial 16S ribosomal RNA
Rfam family: Bacterial small subunit ribosomal RNA
Source: RNAcentral
GACGAACGCUGGCGGCGUGCUUAACACAUGCAAGUCGAACGGAAAGGCCCUGCUUUUUUGGGGUGCUCGAGUGGCGAACGGGUGAGUAACACGUGAGUAACCUGCCCUUGACUUUGGGAUAACUUCAGGAAACUGGGGCUAAUACCGGAUAGGAGCUCCUGCUGCAUGGUGGGGGUUGGAAAGUUUCGGCGGUUGGGUAUGGACUCGCGGCUUAUCAGCUUGUUGGUGGGGUAGUGGCUUACCAAGGCUUUGACGGGUAGCCGGCCUGAGAGGGUGACCGGCCACAUUGGGACUGAGAUGAGGCCCAGACUCAUACGGGAGGCAGCAGUGGGGAAUAUUGCACAAUGGGAGGAAGCAUGAUGCAGCAACGCCGCGUGCGGGAUGACGGCCUUCGGGUUGUAAACCGCUUUCGCCUGUGACGAAGCGUGAGUGACGGUAAUGGGUAAAGAAGCACCGGCUAACUACGUG